UUACUGUGUCCCUUAUCUUUCUGUUUUUGUAUAUUAUAGAGAAUCCAGAUACAGCAGGACAGGAUGAUUUGUGAAAACAGGAAGAAAGUGUGGUCAAUAUGUCAGUUUCAUGAUUACCAAUGUAAAUAAUUUGUUAAUAUGUUAAUUUGUUAAUAUGUAAAAUGUUAAUAAUUGCAUACAUUCGGUUCGCUUAUAUGUUCCCAAGCAUUAAAAGGUACAUAUGUACCUUUUUCUUUAAAGGUUAAGGUACAAUAUCAAGAGCCAGCCCUGAUUGGCUGCUUGAUUUUCAAAUUAAAAGAACGUCCAGUUGGCGGUCUUUCUUUCGGCGGAGACGAAGUCAUAGCACGUAACAGGGCAGUAAAAUCAGCAGUGUAAUAUUUGCAGUGUUAAAAGUUAUUAAUUCCCAAAUAUUUGAAUUAACAAUCCACAGUGUUAAACAGUACUCGUGUUCAGUGUUGUUAUAUGGUGUAAUUUCACUUUUACACUAAAAGUGCGAAAUAAAAGACCCGCCGAAUUGUCUGGACUCCGCCCUUCAGUGACUGCUGCCUCGCGAAGCGACAACGCCAUCUUUUCUUCGAGCGACCGAUACGGUAAGCUGGACUGCUUUUCUCUUGAUAAAAGUUCACUGGAAAAACAUUUUUGUUGAUAAUUUAACUCGAAAUAUGAUUUGGUGGUGAACACAUUUAGAAAUUACUAACCGCGAGUGUUUUGUCAGGUUCAGUGUUAAGUUCGUUCGUUAAUUUAUGUUAUAACGUUAUAUGCUUUACGCUUCUUUUAUUUUUAGUUGGUCGUCCUCUCGCCUCUGUUCCCUCCUCGGCCUGGGGUUACUGCGAAUCUGGCGCUGAAGACUGAAGCUGCUAACGUUAUAUUCGAAGCCUCAGAAGACCUUCAAGGAUCCAGUUGACCUCUGAAUCAGCUGUUAAGAAAAUGGGACAGUUAUAUUGCUUCAAUUGGUCUCCUACUUCAUUUGAUUCCACCAUCAUUACAAGGCUGCAAGGGAUCUGGAAAAAUGUCAUCCUGUCAAGCUGAAAAACAUCUUCAAAAAGGCACUAACAAGAACAGCUUGAUUGCAGAGAAGAGACCACACAGCCAUACACGCUCACUGAUGGGACAGUGAGGAACAUCAUUCAUGGAUGCUACACAACUCAAAUCUACACGUCAUAUUUGUUCAUGUCUAGGUAAAUUUGAUGAUUUUGUGUUUUAUUAAUUACUUUGUUUCUGUGCAACACUUAAUGAAUGUGACUGACUAAUUAACCUCUACACAUCUGGUAUAUGCUUUAAAGUUGCCACUUUGCCCAUUUGUUCAAUAAAUGUUGAAAUGUAUACAUCUGUCUGAAGACUUUCCUGAUUUUAUGUCUAUCCUUUUACAUUAACUUUAUUUUUUAU
Long non-coding RNA from Cyprinus carpio carpio, 1386 nucleotides. Lineage: Eukaryota; Metazoa; Chordata; Actinopteri; Cypriniformes; Cyprinidae. The record is from Ensembl.